GACCUCGGAUCAGGUAGAUCC
This 21-nucleotide ribosomal RNA is filed under the name Lobothallia pruinosa. RNAcentral describes it as "partial 26S ribosomal RNA". Lineage: Eukaryota; Fungi; Ascomycota; Lecanoromycetes; Pertusariales; Megasporaceae. RNAcentral also lists the same sequence under 1 other name. The record is from RNAcentral.